Molecule: long non-coding RNA, 557 nt
Organism: Cebus imitator (Panamanian white-faced capuchin)
Lineage: Eukaryota; Metazoa; Chordata; Mammalia; Primates; Cebidae
Exons: 2
Source: RefSeq, a predicted model, not a curated record
GAGACAGUCACAGGGGAAAGACGGUCAUGUGAUGACUGCAGACACUGAAGUGAUGCUGCCACAAGCCAAGGAAUGCUGAAGCCACCAGAGGCUGGAAGAGCAGGAGGCAUGGCUGGCUGGACCUGCCAGGCAGAGUGUGGCCCUGCCGACCCCUUGAUUUGGGACUUCUGGCCUCCAGAACUGCAGGAAAAGAAACCUUUCAGCCCCCUGGUUUGUGGUACUUUGUUACCACAGCCACAGGGGACAAAUACAGCUAGUCACUACCGUUCUGUGCCUCAGUUUACCCAACUGACAAAAGAGAAACCAAAGGAGGCCCCGUCCCUGUCUGCUGCUGGACAACUCCUCCUGGUCAUGUGAAUGAUGACCCCACCCCAACGUCAGCAGAGCUGUGCCCCUGACCGCACAAAGCUACAGGCCAUGAGUGUUUUGGAGUACCUACUGCGUGCCAGUGACUGUCCCAGAUUUUGGGGACACAGAAGUAUGUAUAAGAAGACAGAGUUCCUUUUGCAUGACUAUUAUGUAUUCAUCAUAACUACAAAUAAAUCAUCUUAUAAACA